This 580-nucleotide long non-coding RNA is filed under the name Homo sapiens (human). Its description in RNAcentral is "HSALNT0236317". Lineage: Eukaryota; Metazoa; Chordata; Mammalia; Primates; Hominidae. The record is from RNAcentral.
CAAGGACUCGCCCUCCGUCUGGGCCGCCGUCCCCGGGAAAACGUUCGUCAACAUCACGCCAGCUGAGGUGGGUGUCCUGGUUGGCAAAGACCGGUCAAGUUUUUACGUGAAUGGGCUGACACUUGGGGGCCAGAAAUGUUCGGUGAUCCGGGACUCACUGCUGCAGGAUGGGGAAUUUAGCAUGGAUCUUCGUACCAAGAGCACCGGUGGGGCCCCCACCUUCAAUGUCACUGUCACCAAGACUGACAAGAGUGAUCCUGCUGAUGGGCAAAGAAGGUGUCCACGGUGGUUUGAUCAACAAGAAAUGUUAUGAAAUGGCCUCCCACCUUCGGCGUUCCCAGUACUGACCUCGUCUGUCCCUUCCCCUUCACCGCUCCCCACAGCUUUGCACCCCUUUCCUCCCCAUACACACACAAACCAUUUUAUUUUUUGGGCCAUUACCCCAUACCCCUUAUUGCUGCCAAAACCACAUGGGCUGGGGGCCAGGGCUGGAUGGACAGACACCUCCCCCUACCCAUAUCCCUCCCGUGUGUGGUUGGAAAACUUUUGUUUUUUGGGGUUUUUUUUUUCUGAAUAAAAA